RNAcentral lists this ribosomal RNA (462 nucleotides) under uncultured bacterium. Its description in RNAcentral is "bacterial SSU rRNA". It matches the Rfam family "Bacterial small subunit ribosomal RNA", at positions 34 to 507 of the family's 1533-position model. The record is from RNAcentral.
CGCUGGCGGCGUGCCUAACACAUGCAAGUCGAACGGACGAGAUUUCUUCGGAGAUCGAGUUAGUGGCGGACGGGUGAGUAACGCGUGAGUAACCUGCCUUACAGAAGGGGGGACAACAGUUGGAAACGACUGCUAAUACCGCAUAAUGUAUGACCGAGGCAUCUCGGAGAUACCAAAGGAGCAAUCCGCUGUAAGAUGGACUCGCGUCCAAUUAGAUAGUUGGUGGGGUAACGGCCCACCAAGUCGACGAUUGGUAGCCGGACUGAGAGGUUGAACGGCCACAUUGGGACUGAGACACGGCCCAGACUCCUACGGGAGGCAGCAGUGGGGGAUAUUGCACAAUGAAGGAAACUCUGAUGCAGCAACGCCGCGUGAGGGAAGAAGGUUUUCGGAUUGUAAACCUCUGUUUUUAGUGAAGAACAAAUGACGGUAGCUAAAGAGGAAGCCACGGCUAACUACGUG